This 445-nucleotide long non-coding RNA is filed under the name Salmo salar (Atlantic salmon). Its description in RNAcentral is "lncRNA (ENSSSAG00000112676.1)". The record is from RNAcentral. Lineage: Eukaryota; Metazoa; Chordata; Actinopteri; Salmoniformes; Salmonidae.
UUUAAAUGUUAUGAUUACUGGAUGUUCAUCAUUUCAUCAAUCAAACAUUAAUACUGGCAGGAUACAGGUGCUGUUUCCUCCAGUCAGGAUGGGAUCUCUGCAGCAGAGGUGGAGCUGAGAGUCAGACCAGGAGACAACGUUGUUCUUCACUGUGAUGUCAAACACCAUGAUAAAACACAUUGGCAUAGAAACAGCUCCAUUGAGAAUGUGGGUAAUUUCAGUGUUUCAAACCAGGAAAUAAUGGACAAUCCUGUCCCUCGCUUCUAUUUCCUGUGGCGUUCUCAAAAGUUCUGGGAUCUGCUGAUUGAGAAUGUGACUGAAUCUGACCUGGGACUCUACUACUGUGGGAGCUGGAAGAAGAAGUUGUUGAACUUUGAAGGGGUUAGCGAUACAGUAGAAACGUUCAUAUCUAACAAUGGAAAAGUCAACACCAGACUUUCAUUUG